GGGACACGUGGUAUCCUGUCUGAAUAUGGGGGGACCAUCCUCCAAGGCUAAAUACUCCUGACUGACCGAUAGUGAACCAGUACCGUGAGGGAAAGGCGAAAAGAACCCCGGCGAGGGGAGUGAAAAAGAACCUGAAACCGUGUACGUACAAGCAGUGGGAGCACGCUUAGGCGUGUGACUGCGUACCUUUUGUAUAAUGGGUCAGCGACUUAUAUUCUGUAGCAAGGUUAACCGAAUAGGGGAGCCGAAGGGAAACCGAGUCUUAACUGGGCGUUAAGUUGCAGGGUAUAGACCCGAAACCCGGUGAUCUAGCCAUGGGCAGGUUGAAGGUUGGGUAACACUAACUGGAGGACCGAACCGACUAAUGUUGAAAAAUUAGCGGAUGACUUGUGGCUGGGGGUGAAAGGCCAAUCAAACCGGGAGAUAGCUGGUUCUCCCCGAAAGCUAUUUAGGUAGCGCCUCGUGAAUUCAUCUCCGGGGGUAGAGCACUGUUUCGGCAAGGGGGUCAUCCCGACUUACCAACCCGAUGCAAACUGCGAAUACCGGAGAAUGUUAUCACGGGAGACACACGGCGGGUGCUAACGUCCGUCGUGAAGAGGGAAACAACCCAGACCGCCAGCUAAGGUCCCAAAGUCAUGGUUAAGUGGGAAACGAUGUGGGAAGGCCCAGACAGCCAGGAUGUUGGCUUAGAAGCAGCCAUCAUUUAAAGAAAGCGUAAUAGCUCACUGGUCGAGUCGGCCUGCGCGGAAGAUGUAACGGGGCUAAACCAUGCACCGAAGCUGCGGCAGCGACACUAUG
This 798-nucleotide ribosomal RNA is filed under the name Escherichia coli. Its description in RNAcentral is "partial 23S ribosomal RNA". It matches the Rfam family "Bacterial large subunit ribosomal RNA", at positions 419 to 1218 of the family's 2925-position model. Lineage: Bacteria; Pseudomonadati; Pseudomonadota; Gammaproteobacteria; Enterobacterales; Enterobacteriaceae. The record is from RNAcentral.